RNAcentral lists this ribosomal RNA (453 nucleotides) under Galerina uncialis. RNAcentral describes it as "bacterial LSU rRNA". It matches the Rfam family "Bacterial large subunit ribosomal RNA", at positions 861 to 1236 of the family's 2925-position model. The record is from RNAcentral. Lineage: Eukaryota; Fungi; Basidiomycota; Agaricomycetes; Agaricales; Galerinaceae.
CCCAACAAGUUUAAUUUAUAUUUUUAAAUUUUAUACGUUUAGGUUGCGGGGAUCUAGAAAAUCUUACCUUUGGAAGCGAAUCUCGGAAUUACAUAAAUUGAUAAUAGAUAUUCAGACUGCUCAUGCUAAGUUGGGCAGUCAAGACGGAAACAGCCGAGAACACUGAUCAAGGUCCCAAAUGAUUGUUAAGUGAAAUUAAGGACGUAGCAAUAUCGUAUACAGCUGUGAAGUGAGCCUGGCAGUCGCUACUUAUAAUGAUCGUACGUAACAACGCAUCAGCAGUAUUAAAUUUUAUUAUUUAAUAAUAAAAUUUAAAUGAUAGUAGCGCCGAAAAUUUAACGGGUCUUAAACAAUCAACCGAUAUCGUGUNGGUUUUAUAAAAAUUAUUUKUUUUUAUAAAGUCUAGGUAGUAGAACAUUCAGUUUAACUGUUAAUUAAAUAGUGUUUCAUUGU